UACAGAGGGUGCGAGCGUUGUCCGGAAUCACUGGGCGUAAAGGGCGCGUAGGUGGCGGGAUAAGCGUGUGGUGAAAGCCCGGGGCUCAACCCCGGGUCUGCCAUGCGAACUGUCUUGCUCGAGCAUAGUAGAGGCAGGUGGAAUUCCGGGUGUAGCGGUGGAAUGCGUAGAGAUCCGGAAGAACACCGGUGGCGAAGGCGGCCUGCUGGGCUAUUGCUGACACUGAGGCGCGACAGCGUGGGGAGCAAACAGG
Molecule: unclassified non-coding RNA, 253 nt
Filed under: uncultured Gemmatimonadaceae bacterium
Lineage: Bacteria; Pseudomonadati; Gemmatimonadota; Gemmatimonadia; Gemmatimonadales; Gemmatimonadaceae
Description: contains 16S-23S intergenic spacer region
Rfam family: Bacterial small subunit ribosomal RNA
Source: RNAcentral